CUCGUAGUUGAUUCGUGGUGAUCCCUGGGGUCCGAUUUCGGUACUCUUGGGGAUUGCCAUCCUUGGGUGGAUCCUGUGUGGCAUUAGGUUGUCGUGCGGGGGAUGCCCAUCGUUUACUGUGAAAAAAUUAGAGUGUUCAAAGCAGGCUUAUGCCGUUGAAUAUAUUAGCAUGGAAUAAUAAGAUAGGACCUUGGUACUAUUUUGUUGGUUUGCGCACCGAGGUAAUGAUUAAUAGGGACAGUUGUGGGUAUUCGUAUUCCAUUGUCAGAGGUGAAAUUCUUGGAUUUCUGGAAGACGAACUAAUGCGAAAGCAUUUACCAAGGAUGUUUUCAUUAAUCAAGAACGAAAGUUAGGGGAUCGAAGAUGAUUAGAUACCAUCGUAGUCUUAACCAUAAACUAUGCCGACAAGGGAUUGGCGGGGUCUCGUUACGUCUCCGUCAGCACCUUAUGAAAAAUCACAAGUUUUUGGGUUCCGG
RNAcentral lists this ribosomal RNA (476 nucleotides) under Bacillariophyta sp. SI1a. RNAcentral's name for it is "SSU rRNA". It matches the Rfam family "Eukaryotic small subunit ribosomal RNA", at positions 627 to 1117 of the family's 1831-position model. Lineage: Eukaryota; Bacillariophyta. The record is from RNAcentral.